CUAAGAAUAUUCCGCAAUGGACGGAAGUCUGACGGAGCGACGCCGCGUGGAUGACGAAGGCCGAAAGGUUGUAAAGUUCUUUUGCUGGGGAAGAAUAACCGCAGGAGGGAAUGCUUGUGGGAUGACAAGAACCGGCGAAUAAGCCCCGGCCAACUACGUGCCAGCAGCCGCGGUAACACGUAGGGGGCGAGCGUUGUUCGGAAUUACUGGGCGUAAAGGGCAUGUAGGCGGCUUGGAAAGCCUGGCGUGAAAGUCUGCAGCUUAACUGCAGGGGUGCGCUGGGAACUGCUGAGCUUGAGUGACGGAGAGGGAGCUGGAAUUCCUGGUGUAGGGGUGAAAUCUGUAGAUAUCAGGAAGAACACCGAUGGCGAAGGCAAGCUCCUGGCCGAUGACUGACGCUGAGGUGCGAAAGUGUGGGGAUCAAACA
Molecule: ribosomal RNA, 427 nt
Filed under: uncultured bacterium
Lineage: Bacteria
Description: bacterial SSU rRNA
Rfam family: Bacterial small subunit ribosomal RNA
Source: RNAcentral